UGGAUUUUGAAAUACUAGAAAACAAGGUCUAGAUCUUUGAUGAAAUGUGCAAAUUUUUAUAGUAGUAGGUAAUUCAUGUGUAAGAAUUUUCAUUAUAAUAUAGAAAAUGCCAUGUUUGAUCAUAUUUAUAAUUGUAUUUUACAAAAAUAAGAAUUCUUUUGUUUGAUUCAUUUUUUUCCAACUUUGUCAAAUAAGGGGAGGCAACUCAAAUGCAAGAGCAGAUAAUCCAGAUAGUGUUACUUUUACAAUAGAAUGUGUUAGGAAUUUACCCAUUUUUACAUGUAGCAAGAAAACGAGUCCGGUGACCCCAUUUUUUCUUUUUCUUAUCUGAAAGCAUAAUAUUGAAGCUAUCUUCUCAUAUUUUACCUCAAA
This 372-nucleotide long non-coding RNA is filed under the name Mytilus galloprovincialis (Mediterranean mussel). Lineage: Eukaryota; Metazoa; Mollusca; Bivalvia; Mytilida; Mytilidae. The record is from RNAcentral.